Hydra vulgaris (swiftwater hydra) is the source of this 1447-nucleotide long non-coding RNA. RefSeq lists it as uncharacterized. The record is from RefSeq and is a predicted model, not a curated record. Lineage: Eukaryota; Metazoa; Cnidaria; Hydrozoa; Anthoathecata; Hydridae.
ACUAAAAUUUUACGUGUUGUUGAUUCUUCGGAAUUAUGGAUGAAUUUAAACAGGGGAUCUUAAGAAUAGCGGGUGUCUUAGCCCCCAUAUUAUCUAAAAUAAUUUUUUUUUUAGCAUUUUGAGCUUGAAAACUACGAGAUUCCGAAACAAAAGAAUCCUCUGCAGCUAGUUUGUUUGAAACUAAAAUAACAUAGCUCUGGUAAAAGUGUAAAAACGUUAAAAAGUAGUUUAAGUGGUUUAUCAAUAAGUGGUCUUUUAUUUCUGGAUUAUCAUUUUCAUUUGCAACAAAAAUACUGAAAAAUUAAAAAAAAAGAAUAAUAAUAAUAAAGUAAGGCUUCAUAAUUGACAUCGUUGUUAUUUAUUAAAAUAACGGAUUUUUAACGCUGCGUGCUGAAUCGACGGGAAACAAGUUAUUUAUUCUCAGAUUUGUGUAUACCCUAUCAAAUGUUUGUUUUCAUACACCCUUUCAAAUGUUUAUUUUUAAACACCUUAUAAAAUGUUGUUUUAUUUCGCAACUGCUUUUAUCUCUAUCAAAAUAAUUUUGAUUAUAUUGUUACUGAGUUACGUGAAAAUACUAAUUACCGUAAAUUAACUGUAACUCCCAAACUUACUAUAAAACUGUGUUUCGAAUUAGCUUUAUGGAUGAUAACUAAUUUUUAAAAGAAUGAAGUUUUUGAAGCAAAACGAUCCGAGAAAGCUUCAUAAUUUUAAGAUACCGUUCUGAGAUCGCACAAUAUCCCCUAGUGAAUAGUUUCGAUUUCGGAAAGAUCUCAUUCGAUUUGAUUAUUUAACAAAACAGGAAGAUAAAAGAAAGCAGGAAAGCGUGUUUAAAUAAGCACGUUCAAGUGAUUUAUUGUUUAUGUCGGUCACGAAUUAAACUGUAACUGCAAAUAAAAAAGUAAAAAAUUUACCUUUAUGGAAUAAAAAUUAAUCACUUUACGUAAUAAAUAAGUUAAAAGAUUGUUUAUUUACCUUUUCAUUGUGGUAACUUACAAUAGAGAUAUAUAUUUUUAGUUUAAGUGUUUAAUAGACAACAAAAGAAAAAGUAGGCUUUUAGAACUCCGCAAUCCAAUAAAACUCGAGACUUGAAUUAAAUGACAUUAUUAAAGAAAUUUCUAACAACGAUAAAAUAUUGGAGUAUCUGCAACUAUUCAAUAUCAUUACAUCUUUUGGUUAUAAAUGCUGAAAAUGAUGAGUCUUACAACGUCCAUUUGUUUGAUGACUUUGCUGAUCGUACAACACGUUAAAACAGUGAGAAGUCGACCCCUUGGUGAAGAUGUAUCAUGCGAUUACAAAUGCACGUCAGAAUUUGAUGCCUGUUCAGCGCAUGCUGGAGAAAUGAAAGAAUUUCAGAUUUGUUCAGUUUCAAAGUAUCAAUGUUUUAACGCGUGCAAAGAUGUAUCCGACUUUUUACUUUACGCUAAGCAAUAAAACAAAAAAUCUCUCU